GAUGAAGGCUAGGAAAGAUGGACUGCUAUAAGGAACCUGUCCUUCAUUUAUCUCCGGAGUCUACGUGCAUGGUGCUAAACCGCUUCCUCACCGCCCGUCCUCACCACCACCUGCGAGUGCGGUGGGAGGCGCCCGGAACCAUCUCUCCGAGGCCUCACCGGGGUCCUGAGCACUUGCAAAACCCACACCAGGCUCAGGACGAAUGAGGACGCCCAGGCGCCCCCGAAAUUCCACCCUCUCUGCUUCUAAUGCCAUCUCCUCCCCGCAGCCUCCACAAUAAUGGACACAUUUUCAGCUUCCUCAGGUCAGGCAACUUAUCAGAGAGAGCCGGGCGGCCUCACGCAGAGCUGCGAGUGAGUCAGCUGCGCUCGCUCGGCGCCAGCACAUCAC
This 390-nucleotide long non-coding RNA is filed under the name Fukomys damarensis (Damara mole-rat). Its description in RNAcentral is "lncRNA (ENSFDAG00000033380.1)". The record is from RNAcentral. Lineage: Eukaryota; Metazoa; Chordata; Mammalia; Rodentia; Bathyergidae.